UGUUAAAGCAAGAUUGUUGUUGGGAUUUUUUAUCAAUUUCUGGAUUUCAUUUUCGUUAUUUCAUAUUUCACUUUCUCAGUGCUGCAUCACGUAAGGUGUCUAGAGGUAAUAGUAAUGGCCCUGGAUCAAUUCCACAAUUUGGAAGCCCUAAAAAAGAGAGAGAGAAAAGCUGCUACAGUAAUUUUACCAAUGGAAUUGUUUGGACUUGUGCUUUAGUUCAUUAACAUUGUCAUUGGUCUUUAGUGUGUUUAAAGAUUUUAGUAGUUUAUGAAAGAACCAAAAGCGUAUCACAUGAAUUAGGUUGCGUAUCACAGCAUCCAUACGGAGUGAUUUUAUCACACUACAUCUCAACUGGUAUAUGAACAAUGACCAAAUUUGCAUUGUGAGUGUUAAUGAAAACCACAGGAAAUAAUAUAUCUAACAUUGUGAAUGAAAACAGCUCUAUUUCCAUCUUGAGAUGGAUUAGUGUGGGUUUUGUACAGCUGGUAUUGGAUAAAUUAAAUCUGUAGUUGCACACCAUAGUCUCCUCUUGAUAGGGAGUCUUGGCCAUUGCAUAGACAUGUAGUAAGGAAUCAUAGCUCAUGGGGGAGAAAAAAAGUUGAAGAACACACACUUCAGCCAGUAUGAAACACUAGAACAAUGCUUUAGAGAGACAUUAAAAUUAAUAAUAAACUGUAUUCCAUUUCAUAUAAAACCAACCCAACCUGUGUAAAAUCAGCAUUCUUGAAAAAAAUCUGACUGAUUAUUUAUCAUUUCCUGAACAAAAUUGUUUGAACUGAAAUAUUUUGGCCAUUUUUCGAUUUUCAGUCAAGGUAGGGAACACAGGAACUAUUUAGUCAAGUGGGUUCCAAAGCAUACUAUUUUUGCAAAUAGGUUAAGGUGCAACAGAUAAAUGCACAAAGGGCUUCAGUUCUCCAUGUAUUUUUUCCACAACAGCUAGUUUCAGAAAGCCAUAAAAGAGAUUACAGAGGCAGAGUGAGGAACUAGCAGGAGCUACCAUGAACGCAUGUAAUCCCUUCCUCCCACCAGCCCUCUAGAGGAUACAGAGUACUGCAAAGCUCAUUUUAAAAAACUAUCAUUAGCCAUGACUUUUCAAAAAGGCACAAGUCUUUACAAUUAUAGCUGUUCUUGUUCUAAACAUGUUUCAGUCAUCAGAAUUUGGGAGAUAAAGAGACAUCUGAAAAGCUGCAUAACACAAUGGCUGAUUAAAGAUUCUGCAUCCCCAAGAGCUUGUGCAGCAGCUAAGAUAGAAUUUUCUUUCUUUUGUAAAAACACAUACCAGUUCUGCAUUUACAUAAAGUAAUCAUUUAAGGUGGGUAAAAAGAGGUUCUUGGCAACAGGGAGGUCUUUGUGGAGGAAUAUGCUAUUUUCUGUAGAGUUCCAUCAACAUACUCAAAUUUCCUUCCAAGAAUCUUCCAAGAAUUAGCAUAUUUUUUUAUAACUCCUUCUCAGAUACACUAUGUCACUUGCUCUCGCAGUUCCCAUUUAUAACUGAUAUCACAUGAGCUCCAUUUAAGACACGGAGCAGAGCCUGAGCUGUUAUGACACAGAAUCACAUAUAUGGGCACAAACUUUAUUUGGCAAGUACCCACUCUUUAUUUCAAGUAAUUUUCUUCAAUCAAGGUGAGGAGGUCCCAGAUGAGGCGAAGUUCCACUGUAGGUUUCCCCCUCCCUCUCUGGACAAUCACUACCUAAGGUGCUCUGAGGCUGGGAUUUCACUUUUUAAGGAACCUGCAAGAACAUCAUCUGGUUCCUGAGGAGGUUGUCAUGAGAUGAGAGGUUUCUAGGAAAAAAAAAAUCUUCCGUGUAAAAAGGAUUCAGUGUAGAAAAAAUAUGUAAGUCUAUAAAAUUCAC
Pseudopipra pipra is the source of this 1854-nucleotide long non-coding RNA. RefSeq lists it as uncharacterized. The transcript has 4 exons. The record is from RefSeq and is a predicted model, not a curated record. Lineage: Eukaryota; Metazoa; Chordata; Aves; Passeriformes; Pipridae.